AAAAUUUUUAAAUAAAAUGAUUUAAUGGGGGUUAAAGUAAUUUUAUUGAAAAAAUUAAUUAAUUUAUAGUGAAUUAGUAUUGUAAAAGAAAUUUGAAAUAGUUGAAAAAUAAAUUAUUUAUAAGUAAUUUUAGUUUAAUGUAUCUUGUGUAUCAGAGUUUAUUAAAAAAAUUUUUAAAUUUAAUAAUUCUCGAAUUUAAAAGAGAUAAUUAAUUAAUAAAGUUAUUGUUGCAUAAAUAUUUUUAAUAAUUAAUUGGAAAUGAUAUGUUAAUCGUUUUUAAAUAUAUCUAGUUUUUUUAGAAAAAAAUUUAAUUUUAAAUUUUAUUAAGAGAAAAUUAAUUAAUUAAUUUUCUCUUAAUAAAAUUUUAUAUUUUAGGGGAUAAGCUUUAAAAUAAAUUUAUAUAAUAUUAAUUAAAAUUUAUUGAAAAUUAUAUAAUUUAUAUUGUUAAAAAUUUUUAAUUUAUUAUAAAUAAUUUCAAUUAAAAAUAAAAUUUAAUAAAAAUUUAUUUUUUUUUUAUAAAAAAAAAAAUUAUAAUAUAAAAAAUUUUAAUAUAAUGAUAAAAUUAGUAUAUUAAUUUAAUUAGAUUAUAAUUUAUUAAAAAUAAAUUAAUUAAAAGGAAUUCGACAAAUUUUUAUAUUCACUUGUUUAUCAAAAACAUGUCUUUUUGAAUUUAAUAUAAAGUCUAAUCUGCCCACUGAUUUUAAUUAAAGGGCUGCAGUAAUUUGACUGUACAAAGGUAGCAUAAUCAGUAGUCAUUUAAUUGAUGACUUGUAUGAAGGAUUGGAUGAAAUAUAUAUUGUCUCUUAGUUAAAUAUAGAAUUUAAUUUUUUAAUUAAAAAGUUAAAAUAAUUUAAAAAGACGAGAAGACCCUAUAGAGUUUAAUAAAUAAAUUAUUUAAGAUUAUUUAUAAAUAUAAGUUUAUUUAAAUUAAGAUUAAUUUAUUUAUUUUGUUGGGGUGACAGAAAAAUAUAAAUAACUUUUUUUAAAAAUUUAACAUAUAUAAAUGAUUAAUUGAUCCAAUUUUAUUGAUUAUAAGAAAAAAUUACCUUAGGGAUAACAGCGUAAUUUUUUUUUUUAGUUCAAAUAAAAAAAAGAGUUUGCGACCUCGAUGUUGGAUUAAGAUAAAAUAUAAAUGCAGAAGUUUAAAAUUUUUGAUCUGUUCGAUCAUUAAAAUCUUACAUGAUCUGAGUUCAAACCGGUGUAAGCCAGGUUGGUUUCUAUCUUUUAAAAAUUAAAAUAUUUUAGUACGAAAGGAUUAAAUAUUUAAAUUAAAUUUAUUAUUUUUUUUUUGAAUAUUAUUAAAAAUUAUU
This 1310-nucleotide ribosomal RNA is filed under the name Cucullia pustulata. RNAcentral's name for it is "16S ribosomal RNA". Lineage: Eukaryota; Metazoa; Arthropoda; Insecta; Lepidoptera; Noctuidae. The record is from RNAcentral.